Molecule: ribosomal RNA, 345 nt
Filed under: uncultured Hydrogenophaga sp.
Lineage: Bacteria; Pseudomonadati; Pseudomonadota; Betaproteobacteria; Burkholderiales; Comamonadaceae
Description: bacterial SSU rRNA
Rfam family: Bacterial small subunit ribosomal RNA
Source: RNAcentral
GUCAGAGUUUGAUCCUGGCUCAGAAUGAACGCUGGCGGCAUGCUUUACACAUGCAAGUCGAACGGUAACAGGCCGCAAGGUGCUGACGAGUGGCGAACGGGUGAGUAAUGCAUCGGAACGUGCCCAGUCGUGGGGGAUAACGCAGCGAAAGCUGCGCUAAUACCGCAUACGAUCUAAGGAUGAAAACGGGGGACCGAAAGGCCUCGCGCGAUCGGAGCGGCCGAUGUCAGAUUAGGUAGUUGGUGGGGUAAAGGCUCACCAAGCCAACGAUCUGUAGCUGGUCUGAGAGGACGACCAGCCACACGUGGAACUGAGACCACGGUCCAGACUCCGUACGGGAGCAGC